This is a long non-coding RNA of Ostrea edulis (European flat oyster), 977 nucleotides long. RefSeq lists it as uncharacterized. The transcript has 3 exons. NCBI's taxonomy places the organism in Eukaryota, Metazoa, Mollusca, Bivalvia, Ostreida, Ostreidae. The record is from RefSeq and is a predicted model, not a curated record.
UGUGUUUAGUCACGCCGCUUCAAAAAUGUUCAGCAGGGUUACUUUCGGUUUCUCGUUGUUUACCAACACUUCGCGUAUUAAAUGUAUUAGUUUGGGAUGUAUGGGGGUACGUAUUUGUUUGUCAACGUUUGAUAAGCUACCAUUGGUCAAAUUCAACGGAAGACUUAGAGAAGACGACGAUGUUGCAGUGUAACUUGCAGAUCUAUGCAGAAGGCCUAACUGUCUAGGAACCCUAGGCCCUAUAACCCUGUCUAGUACAGUACUAGCCAUAGUGGGACAUGAAAAGAACGUAUUAGACUCGGUGAAACCUACCAAAUAGGUGCUGUGAUGGUGUACACAUAUGACCUGCUUUGGUCUGAAUGGUUUGCUAUUAAACUAUGGACAGGACAGUCAUAUCAUCUGUGAAUGACUGACCAUGCUGAUUAUGUCAAAGCUGUGGAAUAUUUCUACAUAAAUGAUCAUCGUACUCAUCAAAGACACAACAGAAUGCGAUAUAUGCUACCAAAAAUGACCAAGACAAAACAAAAAUGUUAUAUGGGGAUAUAGGAAGUGGAUCAUCCAUUUUCCUUGCCUUUCCCUCGAGGUCUUCAGGCAGUGUCUCUAUACAUCAUUAACCAUGUUGGUUAACUCUCAUGAUGUCAUGCCAUUACUGCCAGAUACCUAUAAUACUGCCAGACUACCUAUAAUGAUACCAAAAUAUCAGAAUUAAAAUUUCAAAUACACUAGAUUUGAAGCAGCAAAAGAACAGAAUUGCAGAUGUAUAAUACACAAAAGGAUAUUGAUUCUUACCCGGCUGAAAUUGAUAUUAUGAAAAUUGAUAAUUGAUAUGAUAAUAUGAUAAUUGAAAAUGAAUUAAUAGUUGAACUUUCCCUCAGCUGUUUUACUGCAUACCAGUCAAUAAUUCCAGUUAACAUCAGGAGUACAGUCAUUGUUAUCAACCUGUGUAUAUAUGUUGAAUAGAUUAUGAAGAAAGAAAA